Molecule: ribosomal RNA, 253 nt
Filed under: uncultured bacterium
Lineage: Bacteria
Description: partial 16S ribosomal RNA
Rfam family: Bacterial small subunit ribosomal RNA
Source: RNAcentral
UACGUAGGGGGCUAGCGUUGUCCGGAAUCAUUGGGCGUAAAGCGCGUGUAGGCGGUCCGGUAAGUCCGCUGUGAAAGUCGGGGGCUCAACCCUCGAAUGCCGGUGGAUACUGUCGGGCUAGAGUGCGGAAGAGGCGAGUGGAAUUCCUGGUGUAGCGGUGAAAUGCGCAGAUAUCAGGAGGAACACCGAUGGCGAAGGCAGGUCUCUGGGCCACUACUGACGCUGAGAAGCGAAAGCGUGGGGAGCGAACAGG